AGUGAAAAAGAAAUCAAUGAACACAUAACCCAAGCCCCAAAAAUAAACAAGAACCGAUUCAUCAUCUAUGGUUAUCUUCACAUCUAAAUCAUGCUCGAUUUCAACAUCUUCAUCAGCACAAUGAUUUCUCCUCUCAGGUGUGUUGCCGUCCUUGUUUCCAGAGAUCAUCAAACAUUCCGAUUGUUGUUCGGGGGAUCUCGAUGGUAAUGUUUUGAGUUUAGAAGUUAAAGUUCCAGAGACAGAAGUAUGGUUUUCUGUUGACGUAUUUGUUGCAAUUGAAGUGAAAAUAGAUGAAGCAACAUGAGGCCAUGGAGACCAGGGACCUCGCUAUUCAUGUUGGGGAAGUGUGUUUGUAUUUCUAAUAGUUCCUUAGCACUGCAAUGGUCAAUGAUUUUCAUGUUUAACACAAA
This is a long non-coding RNA of Papaver somniferum (opium poppy), 410 nucleotides long. RefSeq lists it as uncharacterized. The record is from RefSeq and is a predicted model, not a curated record. The transcript has 2 exons. Lineage: Eukaryota; Viridiplantae; Streptophyta; Magnoliopsida; Ranunculales; Papaveraceae.